GACGAACGCUGGCGGCGUGCUUAACACAUGCAAGUCGAACGGAAAGGCCCUGCUUUUGUGGGGUGCUCGAGUGGCGAACUGGUGAGUAACACGUGAGUAACCUGCCCUUGACUUUGGGAUAACUUCAGGAAACUGGGUCUAAUACCGGAUAGGAGCUCCUGCUGCAUGGUGGGGGUUGGAUAGUUUCGGCGGUUGGGGAUGUACUCGCGGCUUAUCAGCUUGUUGGUGGGGUAGUGGCUUACCAAGGCUUUGACGGGUAGCCGGCCUGAGAGGGUGACCGGCCACAUUGGGACUGAGAUACGGCACAGCCUACUACGGGAGGCAGCAGUGGGGAAUAUUGCACAAUGGGCGGAAGGCUGAUGCAGCAACGCAGCGUGCGGGAUGACGGCCUUCGGGUUGUAAACCGCUUUCGCCUGUGACGAAGCGUGAGUGACGGUAAUGGGUAAAGAAGCACCGGCUAACUACGUG
This 468-nucleotide ribosomal RNA is filed under the name uncultured bacterium. RNAcentral describes it as "partial 16S ribosomal RNA". It matches the Rfam family "Bacterial small subunit ribosomal RNA", at positions 28 to 507 of the family's 1533-position model. The record is from RNAcentral.